RNAcentral lists this long non-coding RNA (262 nucleotides) under Chinchilla lanigera (long-tailed chinchilla). RNAcentral describes it as "lncRNA (ENSCLAG00000027324.1)". The record is from RNAcentral. Lineage: Eukaryota; Metazoa; Chordata; Mammalia; Rodentia; Chinchillidae.
GAGAAAUUUUGUUAACUUUGUUUGCAUCACCAUUUGAAAUCACUGUGAUUUUGGCUUGGUGGUCCUGUGACAUUCAUUCCAGUCUUCAUUUGUUGAGUGACCAAUCAGAUGGGUGGAGUGUGUUACAGAAACUGGCAGCAAGUAUCCAAUGGGUGAAGAAGGUAAGAUAGACCAACAUUACUGAGAGGUUCAUGUGUUACUAUUUAUAUGGAAGCAGAAACUAUAUCUACCGAGGUGUUCCUCAAACCUGUUUGCUUUGAAC